CACGCCGUAAACGAUGAUCACUAGCUGUUGGCGAUACACCGAUCAGCGGCAAAGCAAAAGACAUUAAGUGAUCCACCUGGGGAGUACGGCCGCAAGGCUGAAACUCAAAGGAAUUGACGGGGGCCCGCACAAGCGGAGGAACAUGUGGUUUAAUUCGAUGAUACGCGAGGAACCUUACCUGGGCUUAAAUGUAGAGUGCAUUGGAGGGAAACUUUCAUUUUCUUCGGAACUCUUUACAAGGUGCUGCAUGGUUGUCGUCAGCUCGUGCCGUGAGGUGUCGGGUUAAGUCCCAUAACGAGCGCAACCCUUAUCGUUAGUUGCCAGCGGGUAAUGCCGGGAACUCUAGCGAAACUGCCGGUGUAAACCGA
RNAcentral lists this ribosomal RNA (368 nucleotides) under uncultured bacterium. Its description in RNAcentral is "bacterial SSU rRNA". It matches the Rfam family "Bacterial small subunit ribosomal RNA", at positions 796 to 1166 of the family's 1533-position model. The record is from RNAcentral.